CCUACGGGAGGCAGCAGUGGGGGAUAUUGCACAAUGGGGGGAACCCUGAUGCAGCGACGCCGCGUGGGUGAAGGAGUGCUUCGGCAUGUAAAGCCCUAUCGGCAGGGAAGAAGCAAGACGGUACCUGACUAAGAAGCCCCGGCUAACUACGUGCCAGCAGCCGCGGUAAUACGUAGGGGGCGAGCGUUAUCCGGAUUCACUGGGUGUAAAGGGAGCGUAGACGGCCAGGCAAGCCAGGGGUGAAAGCCCGGGGCCCAGCCCCGGGACUGCCCUUGGAACUGGGCGGCUAGAGUGCGGGAGGGGCAGGCGGAAUUCCUGGUGUAGCGGUGAAAUGCGUAGAUAUCAGGAGGAACACCGGCGGCGAAGGCGGCCUGCUGGACUGCGACUGACGUUGAGGCUCGAAAGCGUGGGGAGCGAACAGGAUUAGAUAUCCUUGUAGUC
RNAcentral lists this ribosomal RNA (441 nucleotides) under uncultured bacterium. RNAcentral's name for it is "partial 16S ribosomal RNA". It matches the Rfam family "Bacterial small subunit ribosomal RNA", at positions 338 to 795 of the family's 1533-position model. The record is from RNAcentral.